AUUGAAGGAGCGAGGAAUUUUGAAAUUCAACCGCGAAAUACUAAAAAACUGCAGCUUUUUAGAAGUGACAAUAAAAAGAAUAUCAAACAGCAAGUGACUUUCUAUCUAUUUUGAAAAUUUUGCGACCUUCCUUGAGGUGUCCAACGAAACUCAUUUUUAAAGCAUAUUUUUGAGGCACAGAUCACGGACUAUGAGGAAAUUGACUGACUUUAAUUCUGUUGCUUUGGAUUGGCAAGCCCCUCCCACGAUCAACUGCAUUCUGGUGAUAUAAUUAACCUUUCUGACUUUGUGAAAAUAGCUGACUGGAUCGUUGGUUUCGUUUAUGUUGUUUACUUCACAAAGUGACUUUUGUAGUACUGUGAAGACUUUAUUUCCCUCGCUUGAUCUAUCAACGUUUGUUUUCACUUUGACAGUUUUAAUAUUUGUAGGUAACACAGACUGAUCAGAAUCUCUAGUUAGGAGAGCCUCGGUAUUUCUUUCGUUUAAUACUUCAAUGGCUUCUUGAGAAACCGCGUUUGCGUCACAAGUGGCAGGAUCCUUCCUUUUACAAUAUACUCCACAUAGUGACUCUUCUGACUCUCUGAAAAUGUAUUUUUCGUCGCUUUACCUAUUACAACUUGUAUUUACUGGCACACUGGUUGGGAGAGGCUUCUACAAUCGCGUGCACAAACACAUAGUUUUCACAAUCACAUGAAACUUAAAGCAUUGUCACUAUCUUUUGUGUCAAGAACAAGCGAUAAAUUUCUCUUACAGCUGCAUGUCUUUUAAAAGUGAGAAAUUCUUAAAUAGUUUAACAUAGCUACAUAACGGUAAAUUUAAAUUUUCACUAUCGCUAAUUUGUCUUUGACGGAUGACCUUGAAUAUAUGUCAGUUUCAAAAAUAGACUACCGGAUGUGGUUAAGGAGACAAACGACGCCAUCAAGUAGAAUAAGCUGAAGCAAGGUACUUAUCCAAUGUGAUACAAUAGACAUUUUUUUAAGUCACACAAAAGCGUUGAUUUUAAGCGAACCAAAUCAGUGAGCUCAGUUGUGUGAAACAUUUGUCUAUAUAAAAAAUUCAAAUUCAAAUGCUCUUAUUCACAUUAUACAUUACAUCUUCACACGAAAAGGUGAUAUAUCGCAAAUAACAAUGAAUUUCCGACGUACAGAGAUCAUUAAGACUGCAUUUACAUUGUAUUGAAUUCUCUCAUCACGAAAUCUUUGUUUGCUUUAAGGAAGUAAAUGUUCGGAGUAGACGCUUAUUGAAGAUGAUAGAGUUAGUCAAUUUAACUAAAUUUUUGACAUUGAAGGAUAUUACUGACUUUAAAUUCAUAGAAAGUUAAACCUGCCACGAUAGCAAACCGACAUAGUGUAAACGGGGCCUAAAUUAAGAAGAAAAAAAUUUAGCUGGCGUCGUCUAUCCAAGGAAAUACUCUUAAUAAAAACCAGUUAAUUUUAAUGUCAAAAACAAAUAUGGUUUUCUUUUCAAGAUAUUAAAUGAUAUUUUU
Long non-coding RNA from Xenia sp. Carnegie-2017, 1486 nucleotides. RefSeq lists it as uncharacterized. The transcript has 2 exons. The record is from RefSeq and is a predicted model, not a curated record. Lineage: Eukaryota; Metazoa; Cnidaria; Anthozoa; Malacalcyonacea; Xeniidae.